UCAGGAGAGAUAUUAGUUAAGAGAACUGUCAGCACAAUGAGUGAGAUUUCUAUCAACAUUUCCAACACCAUAAGAAGAAAGACAAAGCCUGAUAGCGCAUUUACUUACGAGCUGCAUCUAAAUUAGCAACAGAUCUGCAACCUUUCAUCUCAUGGGCUCUACCCUGCUGCUGCUGCUGCUUGACAUGUCAAAGAAAGAAAAUAAUGGCCAAGGAAAGUAGCUCAAGAGACAUCAGGAGAGACUGAAGAUAGCAAGUGCUCAAUCUGGCAGCGAUGUAGUGAGUGCCAUAUUAAAUACUGCCUUCUUACAAGUGUCAUUAAAAUAUAAAUAAUUUUAAUGAGUUUAUUUAUUUAAUAAAAUGUACACCAGUUAAUA
This is a long non-coding RNA of Pantherophis guttatus, 375 nucleotides long. RefSeq lists it as uncharacterized. The record is from RefSeq and is a predicted model, not a curated record. NCBI's taxonomy places the organism in Eukaryota, Metazoa, Chordata, Lepidosauria, Squamata, Colubridae.